Molecule: transfer-messenger RNA, 360 nt
Filed under: Brevundimonas sp.
Lineage: Bacteria; Pseudomonadati; Pseudomonadota; Alphaproteobacteria; Caulobacterales; Caulobacteraceae
Rfam family: Alphaproteobacteria transfer-messenger RNA
About the family: Bacterial tmRNA, also known as 10Sa RNA or SsrA, is named for its dual tRNA and mRNA-like properties.
Source: RNAcentral
CACCUUUGCGAAACGCCUCUGGGGCUCUAUAUUGCCCCUGUUCGGGCUUGCCCGGACUAUGGCGAUAAACGCGCCUGUAAUAAGCGGACCGGACCCGGGUGCGAUUCCGGCGGCUCCACCAAUCUCUUCCGCGUUAUCGGCGGGACUGUGCGGGGCCGACUAGCAUCGACGGACGUGUAAAGAGGAUUGCUUUCGCUCGUGGCCCACCGUAUCGGGCCAUUAAACUACCUGCGAACGAUAACUUCGCUGAGGGUUACGCCGUCGCCGCGUAAUGCGGUUCCGGUAAAUCCAACCUAAGUCCUGGGGGUUCAGAUCCCCAGGCGGGGCCUGUCGGGAGCCUGGCAACAGAAUCCCGGCGCU